RNAcentral lists this long non-coding RNA (494 nucleotides) under Homo sapiens (human). RNAcentral describes it as "non-protein coding lnc-PTGER4-6:1". Lineage: Eukaryota; Metazoa; Chordata; Mammalia; Primates; Hominidae. The record is from RNAcentral.
AGUCUGGUGCUCUUUCUUCAAGGGCAUGUUUUCUCAGACAGACAGCUCUCUACUCUGAGAGAUCUUAUAAGCCCACUUUCCAAUGACUGCUCUCUGGAUGAGAAUUUUCCAAAAUGCAAAUUACCUUGUGAGUUAAUUUUAUUAUAUGAAUAAAUACUUAUAUUUCAAGACCUUACAUUAGUUUUUUCCUAUGAGUCAAUAAUUUUACCAUGAUAUUUAACAUAAACCUAACAUCUUAUCACUUUUCUUCUCAUUUAUCAAAUUAAUUCCAGUGAGACUUAAGUUUUUAAAUAUACUGAACAGACGUUUGCUACAGCAUGCUGCUAUGGAAUAGGUAUGUGGUCUUCAGAGUCUUUGUUAUCACUGAAAUAAUCCACACUAGAAACACAAAAACAUGAAAACUGUUUUAUGUGACUAAUCCACCACAUUCCCUAGAGGCUGCUGUUCUUAUUUCAUCACAAACACAAAGUUAUUGAUAUGGAAUUCAUUUCUUC